Bos taurus (domestic cattle) is the source of this 72-nucleotide non-coding RNA. The record is from Rfam. NCBI's taxonomy places the organism in Eukaryota, Metazoa, Chordata, Mammalia, Artiodactyla, Bovidae.
UCCCUGGUGGUCUGGUGUUAGGACUCAGUGCUUUCACUGCCAUGGGCCCGGGUUCAAUCCCUGGUCAGGGAA